Long non-coding RNA from Peromyscus maniculatus bairdii (prairie deer mouse), 1697 nucleotides. RefSeq lists it as uncharacterized. Lineage: Eukaryota; Metazoa; Chordata; Mammalia; Rodentia; Cricetidae. The record is from RefSeq and is a predicted model, not a curated record.
AAGGCCGGCGAAGCGCGCGCGGGCAGCCGCUGCGCGGAUGCGUUCUGCGCAGCCCGCCUCGGAUUUCGCUCCCCCCCCCCCCCGGGCCCACGUGACGGUGACUCACUCCGCUCGGUUCCGCCUUCCUCCCCGGGCGCGUGGCGGGAGGGACGGGAGGGACGGGGGUGCCGCCGCAGCACCGGGGAGCCGGUGACGCGGGGAAAACCUAGGCAUCCCCGGACGUCGGGGCUGAUCCCGGGGGCUUGGAGGGAAAGCCGCACGCGCGCGCGCGGCGCUGCAGCUACGCACGUCCCGAGGCGGGAGCGAGGACAGCCGCCCCGUGUGCUCGCACUCGUGGUCCUGAUGUGGGCAGCUGUGCGGUGCAGAGCGUGUCGUCCCCCCCCCCCUUCCCCAUCCCAUCCCCCGGUCCCCCGAGCGAGCAGGGGCCUGCGGGCGCUCGCAGUCGUCACCUUAGAUUCCCCAGACCCACGAGGAACUCCCCGAAGCCUCGCGGGGUGAUUUCCAGAUGGCGAGGAUUUGGAAACGGCAAACCGAAGGGUACACGGCACUCCUAGGCUGCUUGGUCGAGGAGACAUCACUAGACUCCCCGCCCUUAUCUCGGCCCUCGGGAGGAAGCAUGCCGUGCGGCCAUGCUGCGACUGUUUUCACUCGUGGCGUUUUGGAUUCUUUCUAGUAAUUGGACGUGUUUGUCUUCCUGUAACUUCAGCUUCUAGCACAUGGGGAGACUAACCCAGGAAAAUGAGGCACUUGGAUUUUCGGCAUUCAAUAAAUUUAUAUUGAUUGAUGUGUACUCAAGAAGUGAGCACCCUUGAAAAGAGCAUGGAAAUUUCAAGAAUUAAAAUCAAGGGACUACUCCAUAUGAUUUUCUAUAUUUCAUGAGAGGACAGCCGUGAACCUAGGGACGGAUUCAAGUGGCCUGAGAUUGCAGCUCCAACCCAUGUCCUCCUGAGGACAGCCCCAGUGGUCUGCAGGUCAAGAGGACUUUGCCUGGGUCAUUUCACCGGCUGAUCCCUGCUCCAGGGAUCUAGAAGAACACUGUGGGGUGGUUGAGUGUGUGCUGUUGUGUCUUCCAUCCCUCCCACCCCCAGCAGGAUCUCCAACCUGGGACUGACCUUGACCUCUUGAUCCUCCUGCCUCCACCUCCAGACUGUGGGAUUAUAGAUUAUGUGCCUGGUUUAGGAGUUUUUCUUCUGCAAAUAAAAAAAAAAAAAAAAAGUCACAAGACUGGAAACUUUAUGAAGGUUCUGCCCGGUAUCAGAUAAUCAUUUACUCAUCAAAUCUGGGCAGUAAAGUGAUCACUUAGCCAUUGCCUCUGCUUUCAAGGAACCUGUGGACCAGAGAGGGGGAGAAGAUAGAGAUAAAUCCCAGUGUGGAGGUGUGGAGGGCUGGAGUCACAGGGCCAAACGAGGGCACAGCGGAGAGGGGCUGGGCAUCCCCGGAGGUGUCGGGGAAAUGUCCCAGGGAGGAGUCAUCUAUUCCUAGCUACACUGGCCACACCGUUUGUGGGGCCCAGUAACUGAAGACGUUCAUUCACCCAGAGACUGCGAAGACUUUCAAAAUAUCACAGCCCAUAGGGCCACUUCAAGGUGAACAUCCUGCCACUCAGAACUCCAGCACCCGCAAUGGGAAAAUGAACCCAAGCUGGGGACCGCUGCUAUGUGUUUCUUUUGAAGGGUUCUUAUAAUCUAAUUACAAUC